CUGAAACUGUACACAUUUCUGCAUGGUGCAGAGGAGGCCAUGGGGAAUGAUGGAGCAGCGAUAGUGACAUAGCAAGAAGCAGGAGAGGACAAAAUGAUUUGACAAUGGAGGCCUGCAGGCUAUGGUGUUUCUUUUUACUGGUGCUUGUGGUAGCCUGAAGCAUCAGGGAAAAUGUCUCAGCACAGGUCAUCCUCGCCCUGCGAGUGCUCCUGGGCAUUGUUCUUCCUUGCCUGUCCGUUAUGUGCUGACCGGAAGGGAUCGGGCUGGCUGCCAUGUUUUGAGAGGAACAUGAGAAAUAUAGAGUAAUCGUGCGUCGUUGCGUUGGCGGAUGAUGCCACAUAUGAUUCGUUGCCGGAUCCAAAGGACCAGAUCAUACAUUUCUAUUGAGGUUGCUGUAACCCAGUUUUCUCUUGCUCUUGCCUUUGGAAGCAAGGUGGAAGCGACAUCGUGUCAGAAGGCCCAAGGUGUAGUCUACGGAGUCAAAAGCCUGCAAAGAAGGCCACCAAUGGUGGCUGUUUGGUCUGCUACCUAAAGGUGCCAGUUGUUUUCUUCAGUUUUGGUGUUCCAUCUUCUCCAAGCAAAGCCAUAGGCCAUGGACCCGCUGCUCCGUUCUAAUUUGGCAGAAAAGCUGGCCGGGAUGGCGCCACCUUACUGGAGAUCUGGGUAGUUUGGAUUUAGAAUGCCAGAAUACAAUUUUUUUGUUUAACCCCUUUGCCUUAUUUAUAUGUAUUCUUUAGCUCUCCAGUUAUAUUAGCUAUUUAGCUUAGACACCAUCACAGUAUUUGUUAAAUAUGGUCCAAGUGUUAUCUGUUAAAUACUCCUAAUAUCUUUCUGUCUUCCUCAAUACAUCGUUUCAAUUUGACCAAGCAGAAGUUCUCAAACAGUGGAGCAUACAUGCAUGAGUAGAACUGAACAUAUUAUUGCAAU
Long non-coding RNA from Lolium perenne, 927 nucleotides. RefSeq lists it as uncharacterized. The record is from RefSeq and is a predicted model, not a curated record. Lineage: Eukaryota; Viridiplantae; Streptophyta; Magnoliopsida; Poales; Poaceae.